RNAcentral lists this ribosomal RNA (496 nucleotides) under uncultured bacterium. RNAcentral's name for it is "partial 16S ribosomal RNA". It matches the Rfam family "Bacterial small subunit ribosomal RNA", at positions 28 to 506 of the family's 1533-position model. The record is from RNAcentral.
GAUGAACGCUGGCGGCGUGCCUAAUACAUGCAAGUCGAGCGAACAGACGAGGAGCUUGCUCCUCUGACGUUAGCGGCGGACGGGUGAGUAACACGUGGAUAACCUACCUAUAAGACUGGGAUAACUUCGGGAAACCGGAGCUAAUACCGGAUAAUAUAUUGAACCGCAUGGUUCAAUAGUGAAAGACGGUUUUGCUGUCACUUAUAGAUGGAUCCGCGCCGCAUUAGCUAGUUGGUAAGGUAACGGCUUACCAAGGCGACGAUGCGUAGCCGACCUGAGAGGGGGAUCGGCAACACUGGAACUGAGACACGGUCCAGACUCCUACGGGAGGCAGCAGUAGGGAAUCUUCCGCAAUGGGCGAAAGCCUGACGGAGCAACGCCGCGUGAGUGAUGAAGGUCUUCGGAUCGUAAAACUCUGUUAUUAGGGAAGAACAAAUGUGUAAGUAACUAUGCACGUCUUGACGGUACCUAAUCAGAAAGCCACGGCUAACUACGU